CUGAGCUGAAGUCGGAUGCUUAACCAACUGAGCCACCCAGGCGCCCCUCUUUACAAUGUACGGACAGUUCAUUGCUCGUGACCCCUGGAUCUUCUCCCUCCCCAGUGCCCUUCUUGUGUAAAGCCCCUGGAAGGGUGUGGAGGGGAGAUGACAGAGAUCUGUUCUCCCCGUGGACGCCCCGUCCCAGUGUUUUGUCGCGGCCGCCGUGGGAGGUGAGUUCUCGUCCGUGCGGUGGAGACCAGGAUGGAGCGAGAAGGCGGUUUGGAAGGAAGAGCGCUUGGAACAAAGUGUGCAUGGAACAGACUUGGAACCGAGGAGGACAUGGGGAGUCAGGGCGUAGGGCCGCGGGAGAGGAGAGCGUGUCCGCCUGGAGAACACCUGCCGGGGGUGUGUGUGCUUGCUUCGGCUGGUUUGAUUUUAUUCCAAAUGGUGGGAGUUGAAGUUUGGCCUUUGAGUAGAAAGCCAGGCAGAACUGUGAGCAUCACAGCCCUCGUCUCCCCCCAUCCUCCCCCCCCCAACCAAGCCAGAGCAGCAUGCGGCUACGUGUUGUGCCCCCUCCUGUCCCCACAGUGUUGUCACCGCACCAGCGUCGUGGUUCGCAGACCCCGGUCCAAAUGGGGCACUGCUCUCCAGCCGAAUCCACGGACUGGCCGGUUCGGCAGAGUCAGCCAGGUCAGGGGGCGACAGGAAGGCCCAGUCGCUCCGCACGCUGGACUCGGCCCUCCCUGCGGUGUGACCAUCAGCGGGCUGUCCGCGGGGGUCCUCCUUCCUAGGAGGGGGCUCCCCUCAACCCAGGGAGGGUGCUGCUGUGCUCCGGGCGAGCCGGAGGGCGAGGGCACCCCCGAGUCAACCUGGACCCCGCCGUCGGUUACACAUUCGUGCGUCUCUCAAAAUCGUGGCUUUCUGUUGUUCACGUGGUGGAAACAAGGGUCUUCAGAAUUCAUUUUAUCUUCUAACGUCUCUUUGUGAAGGAGAUUGGGGGAGGAGUGGUGGGGGGAGCACGGGUUCCGGGGCCAGGUCCCCGGGGCUUGAAUCCCAGACCUGCCCCUCGCUCGCUGUGGGAACUUGAUCUCCUUCCCGGUCUCUGAUGCCUUCAUUGUAAGCUAGAGACUCUGAUGGUGGGACCUGCCCCCUAGGCGGGUCACCUCCGUAAAGUACCUGCAUUCGUUUCUGUCACAUCCUCUGGAUAGCGCUGGUUCUCGGCCAGCUCUGUGUCCCAGUGAUGGCACCGACCCCCCCUGCCCGACGUCCCAGUGCUGGGUAGUGGACUGCAAGUUCUGUUAUCCUUGUGCCUUUUGCUGAAACCCCCUCAAAUACUCUGCCCACGUGUACGUCCGUCUGCAAGUGGGUUCUGCCGUAUACUAGAACUCGCAACUUUUUGCUUUUAGGUUAUGGGUACGUUGGUCCGCUUCGGCGUGUGACAAACACAGACUUGACCUUGUGACGUGAAAUAAAGUAUAUUAAAAACAGCCCAAACAAGGUAUCCUCUGUUCUCGUGUGCUAAUGUCUUUGUUUUUGUCUCUGUAUUUCCUCCCCUCUCUCUGUUUCUAGAAGUUGAGAUUUAAAAAAAAAAAAAGGAGGGGAGGUGCAUUUGGGGUGACAAAUAAAUCCACUACAGAGCAUGCCGCCACGUGCCUUGCUCUCUGCCAGUUCCUGGCUCUGGUUGUCUUCACCAGGCCGUAAUUCCUGGUCGUCUGCCGGCUUUCCAACCUGCCCUGUCGUGUCGCUAUUGUAUUACUGACCCCAAGCUCCAGUAAAACAUAAAGCAGCAAAGGCCCAAACUGAGGUUGGCUUCAAGGUGGUGCAGGGCACAGAAAUGUUCGUCUGCGGUGGGUCACGUCCAUCUGGACCGCCGCGUGUUCUGUGACACGGACGGAGUCUCGUUGCUGGAGACGUCGACCUUCCCAUCUGUCAUUCCCUCCUGCACGAGUGGCCUCCUGGCCCACGGGCCCCACGCGGGGGCACCUCCCACCUGUGUCCUCAGGCGAAUCUACUGGAUGGUUUCUUCUGCUUCCAGCGGCUUCCCCUUCCCUCACCCCCCAACCCUCCACAGCCCCUUACCCGGCAAACCCCUGGCCAGUACGGUUUCCCAACUUCCCUCUUGGAAUGCGGGAGCCACACCUGCACUUGGCCGUGUGGUGACCCUGAUCCCGUGUGCCACAGAGCCCCAAAGUGUGCGAGAUGUGCUGUAAGUGUACAAUGCACUUGCUUAUAAUUAGAUUGCUUAUAAUUAGUUUUUUAAAAAAAUGAAGUUCAGUAGUAUUUAUAUUGAUUACAUAUUAUAAUAACAUUGGAUAUAUUGUGUUCAGUAAAAUCCGUUAAAAUUUCACCCGUUGUUUUUAAAUGUGGCUACUGGAAAAUUAGGAAUUGUGUGUAUGUCUGACAUUGGAUUCCUUGCUAGACUUUUCUAUCCUGAGAGUCUACCACAAUUGUCAGCUUUUAUUAGGCACUGAGCACGGUUUGUCUAUUCAGUAGAUGGAAAUCUGAGGCCAGACGUUUUGCGAUUCGAUCAAUUGCAUUAUCAGAUGACGACAAGUUGAAGUUUUUCUAAAGCAGUCAUGUUUCUACAGUCUGAGGCCAACAGGUUGCUUUUAAAAGUAAGUGGCACACUCAACAAAUACUUCAUAAGUGAUACGGAAGUUACGAUUUGGAAGGAUCAGCAAGGAAUUCUCGGCGUUUGGGAUAAUAAAGCACAACCAAGAAACAAAAUCUGAAGAAAUAUGGCAACACGGAACUGUGUCAUUCUUGGGCUUACAGUGGGAACUUAGUUGGCAUGAAUUGUGUUGAAAACCAGUGUCUGCAGUGGCCUCAGAAGACACAUUAAAAAUGGCAACAGCAGAAGAAUGAGUUUUCACAAGGCAGCAGCUAAUAACCCUGAGCGGUGUGUAGGAAACCAGAGGAUUCCGCUUGCAUUGCUGAAAGAAUGUUCUUUUUAUCUAGUAAAUAAUGUGGGCACUGUAGGUUAAGGCUGAUGGUUACCUAUAAGAUCGAUUUCUAAAUAGCUCAAUGCAGUGAUGCCGUUGGGAAACCUGAGAGUUGUGGGAGCAAACGUAGAGGAGGAAUCAAGCCCACUGUCUCACUUUCCGGAUACAGAACCGACCGUCCGGACACAAGGGAAUGCGGGGACCUGAUUAAGAUCUCCCAGGCAGAGGGAGCGAGUGGUAGAGAUGGAACGAGAGCCUGGUCUUCCUGGCCUUCGCCUGUUUGAACCGUAAUCACCAAGUAUUGAUGUGACUUUAUUGUAAGGAAUAUAAUACGUACAAAAGAACAUAUAUGAUAUGUAAAUCUACUUUCAAAUAUACGAAAUACGUAUG
Long non-coding RNA from Lynx canadensis (Canada lynx), 3314 nucleotides. RefSeq lists it as uncharacterized. Lineage: Eukaryota; Metazoa; Chordata; Mammalia; Carnivora; Felidae. The record is from RefSeq and is a predicted model, not a curated record. The transcript is spliced from 2 exons.